GCGAUUUUAGCAGGUGGAAGAGGGUAGCAAUAACAGGUUCCGUGAUGCCCUUUAGAUGCUCUGGGCUGCACGCGUGCUACAAUGUUAGGAUCAAUAGGACUGCGAGCUUGAGAGGGUGCGCUACUCUUAUAAUCCCUAACGUAGUUGGGAUUGACGUUUGUAAUCAGCGUCAUGAACCAGGAAUCCCUUGUAAAUGUGUGUCAACAACGCACGUUGAAUACGUCCCUGCCCUUUGUACACACCGCCCGUCGCUCCUACCGAUUGGAUGACUCGGUGAAAUCACCGGAUGCUUACGAGCAGAAAGUGAUUAAAUCACGUUAUCUAGAGGAAGGAGAAGUCGUAACAAGGUAACGGUAGGUGAACCUGCCGUUGGAUCAGUU
Molecule: non-coding RNA, 380 nt
Filed under: Trichomonas vaginalis G3
Lineage: Eukaryota; Parabasalia; Trichomonadida; Trichomonadidae
Description: Eukaryotic small subunit ribosomal RNA
Rfam family: Eukaryotic small subunit ribosomal RNA
Source: Rfam by way of RNAcentral